UUAAAAUUCUUAAAAGAAGAUCCUGAAGCGAUAAAAAGUGCUCUCAUCACUGGAGACAAAUUGUCAUAACCAUGUACACCCAAAGGCUCAUACUCCAACUCCGGUGAAUGAUCCAGCAUCGAGACAAGAGACCAUCCAACAUCCGGGAUCAUCCAAACGGGAGCUAUUCUUUCAUUAUUUGAGUAAUGCCAUCGAGAAGGUAUAUCUUUCUUUGAAUAAACAUUCCAAUUCUCAGCAGAAGGUAAUGACGAGCGAGAAUAAUUAACAAGACUUUCGUAAAUGUACUCAUCAUCUAAAUCAGAUUCUCCUCUAAAACCUCCUAACGGCCAAGCAUCUCUGUGUGCAACGGCAGACAAAUUAAACAUAUUAUCCAGCCAGAUAAGACGAUUAUCGGAUGUAGGCGCCAUUCCAUGAUCACUUAAAAAAAUAAUG
Molecule: non-coding RNA, 432 nt
Organism: Schizosaccharomyces pombe (fission yeast)
Lineage: Eukaryota; Fungi; Ascomycota; Schizosaccharomycetes; Schizosaccharomycetales; Schizosaccharomycetaceae
Source: the annotation of a GenBank genome assembly